GACGAACGCUGGCGGCGUGCUUAACACAUGCAAGUCGAACGGAAAGGCCUCAGCUUGCUGGGGUACUCGAGUGGCGAACGGGUGAGUAACACGUGGGUGAUCUGCCUGCACUCUGGGAUAAGCUUGGGAAACUGGGUCUAAUACCGGAUAUGAACUGCCUUUAGUGUGGUGGUUGGAAAGUUUUUUCGGUGCAAGAUGAGCUCGCGGCCUAUCAGCUUGUUGGUGGGGUAAUGGCCUACCAAGGCGUCGACGGGUAGCCGGCCUGAGAGGGUGUACGGCCACAUUGGGACUGAGAUACGGCCCAGACUCCUACGGGAGGCAGCAGUGGGGAAUAUUGCACAAUGGGCGGAAGCCUGAUGCAGCGACGCCGCGUGGGGGAUGACGGCCUUCGGGUUGUAAACUCCUUUCGACAGGGACGAAGCUUUUUGUGACGGUACCUGUAUAAGAAGCACCGGCUAACUACGUG
RNAcentral lists this ribosomal RNA (466 nucleotides) under uncultured bacterium. Its description in RNAcentral is "partial 16S ribosomal RNA". It matches the Rfam family "Bacterial small subunit ribosomal RNA", at positions 28 to 507 of the family's 1533-position model. The record is from RNAcentral.